GUAGAGAGGCAAUGCAGCUGUUGGGUUGGGUACAUGCCAGCUGGGGAUCUAUUUCCCAGACAAAAAAAAUCUCAAAUCAGAGUGAAGUAACAAUCAGAUAUUUUGCAUGUCAUUGCUUCGUGCUGCUUUUUCUUCAGCAUUGGUGGCUGCUCUGUGUUGUGAAUCGGGGUUUGUAGGCAGGGAUGGUGCUUUGCGUGUGGUAACGACUUGAAAGCGAAUGAUUGCAGAAGAAAUACAAUGUUUUUGCUUUUGAUAUUUCCUGAGUACUUCAGGGGAUGGGGGUUAGUGUGAGAGUACUGUGUAGCAUAGCAUUGUUUCCCUGUGAGGUCAGCAGGAGGGACCACAAAGCUCUCCAGCACUACGAUGAUGUUAUUUUUUUCUGUUGUUGCCCAGCGUUUUCCAUCCCCUGGGUGCACAAAGCCAGCACAGCCUCGGUGUGCGCAUGACGUGGUGCUUGCAUUGCCAGAAGCCUUUAUAACAAAGCCCCAAUAACAAUGAUUAGACAUCUUGAAACUGCAGAAUGUCGCUGUUGUGCUGUGUGUUCCUGCUCUCCUUUGGGCAUUCGGAGCUCUGCAGUGGCCCCAAGAGGAGUACCCCUGGCUCCAGGCACCUGUCAGAGCCCAGCUUCUGGUCUGCUGCUUUUUACAGUUAUUUAUUACACUCUCCUUGCACUGGUUGUAAGUAGUGGUACUGCCUUGAGGUUUUGGGGAAGUGUGUAGUAGUUCUAUCAAAGCAGCAGACACAGUGUGGGUGUUACAGGACUGCCAGCCCUUUGCACAGGGUGCCUGGUGCACAAGCGUGCAAGGCAGAGCUCUGUCAGCCACCUGUCACCAGCAACCUGGAAGGAGUCAUCGCUGAAUCAUAGAAAAUGAUAAAUGUCUCUGUCUGAUAUGAAACAACAUAUGGGGACCGGCUCUGCCCUCCUCAAAAAGGCAAACAGAACAAAAACCCUUAUCCGAAGCUGAAACAUCAAAGAACCAAAAUAACGACCUAAGCUAUUUAAGAUAUAACUUUUCUGGGCCAUUACUCCACAUCCAUCUUAUUUCCCAGGGUUUUAAAUUCUGGCCUGCAUGCUUUUUCCUCCCAGGAUACAUCUCAAAUUGUUUGGUCACAAAUGCCCCGAAUAACAAAUUGACUUAAUUUAGAUGGCAUUAAAGCUCUUUAACCCAUUUCAAAGGGCAGGGAUGCACUGGAGACCUCCAGGCAUGCAUUUCAAUUAAGGCGGUAAGGAUAUAUAUUUCUUUUCCUUGCCUGAAAACGCCUGACAAUUUUAUCUGUGCAUCAGAUGAAAGUUGAGGGGGAAAGGUUUCUGUUAGUCUUGUUGGGAGUUGGCCAGAAAAAUGUGAAGAAUGUAGAAAGGAAUUAACAGCUGGUGUCCAUUUAAAACUUCAGAGAGGGCAAAGAGGCAGAACGCUUGGCUUUACCUGCUGUCUUCCUCUGGUUUGUGCCCGCGUGCUCCUUGAAGACAAAAUGCAAAGAGGACCUUGACUCAAAAGGGAUAUGACUGCAGAGCUUUGAAAUGGAGUCCUGUGCUCAGUGCUGCAACAGCUGCGGGUGCUGGGCUGUGCUGGCUGGGCUUUGUGCAC
This 1586-nucleotide long non-coding RNA is filed under the name Gallus gallus (chicken). RNAcentral's name for it is "lncRNA (ENSGALG00010019733.1)". The record is from RNAcentral. Lineage: Eukaryota; Metazoa; Chordata; Aves; Galliformes; Phasianidae.